GACGAACGCUGGCGGCGUGCUUAACACAUGCAAGUCGAACGGAAAGGCCCUGCUUUUGUGGGGUGCUCGCGUGGCGAACGUGUGAGUAACACGUGAGUAUCCUGCCUUUGACUUUGGGAUAACUUCAGGAAACUGGUGCUACUACCGGAUAGGAGCUCCUGCUGCAUGGUGGGGGUUGGAAAGUUUCGGCGGAUGUGGAUGGACUCGCGGCUUAGUAGCUUGUUGGUGGGGUAGUGGCUUACCCAGGCUUUGACGGGUAGCCGGCCUGAGAGGGUGACCGGCCACAUUGGGACUGAGAGACGGACCAGACGCCUACGGGAGGCAGCAGUGGGGAAUAUUGCACAAUGGGCGGAAGCCUGAUGCAGAAACGUCGCGUGCGGGAUGAAGGCCUUCGGGUUGUAAACCGCUUUCGCCUGUGACGAAGCGUGAGUGACGGUAAUGGGUAAAGAAGCACCGGCUAACUACGUG
RNAcentral lists this ribosomal RNA (468 nucleotides) under uncultured bacterium. RNAcentral's name for it is "partial 16S ribosomal RNA". It matches the Rfam family "Bacterial small subunit ribosomal RNA", at positions 28 to 507 of the family's 1533-position model. The record is from RNAcentral.